Molecule: non-coding RNA, 1527 nt
Organism: Notechis scutatus (mainland tiger snake)
Lineage: Eukaryota; Metazoa; Chordata; Lepidosauria; Squamata; Elapidae
Source: RefSeq, a predicted model, not a curated record
CAAAAACACAAGUUGAAACCCUCCAAAGAUUCUCAGGGACAAAAAUGUUUGCAGGGCUACAUGGGCCAAAGGACUCAUGGUAGUACUUGCAUCAAGCUGCAAAUAUAGACAAUUGCAAUUUAAUUAUCACUCUAAGCACCAGAAAUUCAGUUUGUAGACAGCAUAUUCAUAUAAUAUCCUGAUUGGUAUAAGGCUGUGAUAUUUUCUUUCCAUAUUUUGGAAUUUCACAUAGAUUUGUUCUUUGAACCACAACGGCAGCCUGCACAUGAUAAUGAUGGAAAGCCAUGAAAUGACCUUGCUUUGCUAUGGGAUGACCCUAAUCAGAAAGAUUUCCUGCUGGGAACAGAACCAGUUGGGGAUUUGUUGGCAGGCUGCAAAAUUGGACUUCACAAGACACAUUUAUAGUGUGGGCUAUAAGGGGCAAGAUGCCCAUCCCUUUGUCCAAAAUGAGCAGGAAUUCCACUACUUUUUUCCCCUAUUAUUUUUCAUUAAAUAUACCAGGAAGACUUAUCCAGGAAAAUUUACAGCCAUCACCUCAUAACUUUAAUUGCCUCCUGGCAAAUUCUUAGGAUUAAUUAAUCCCAUGGAAAUUAUCAGUUUACGUAAUACACUAAACCUAAUCAACAGCUUUAAUCAAAAGAAAAGUAUAAUGGCAUUCCUGAUGAAAUUGGCAGGAUAAAUAUGUUAAGCUUGAUUGUACUGUACUUACCAUUGUCUAAAUGUACCUUUCCACCACUUCCCAAGCAUUUUAUUCCUUUCCAGGCAAUCCCCUUGUAUUAAUUUUGAAAUUAAAGACUUCUUAGCACAGAGCUAUUCUUUAGGCUAAUAACAAGAUAUAUUAUUAGGGAUGGAGUAAUUCUACAAUUCCUCUGUACUAUACAGGCAAUUAAUAGGCACAAGUUCCCAAAUAUAACCAUUCUUCCCUCAGCCCUUCAAACCACCAUCAUCUAUGCUACAAAUUGUCAAAACAAUGUCAGAUCCAUGUUGGGUCUCCCUGAAUGCCAGAACUGAGAUCCAGCAAAUGAAGGAAAAAGCAAGCAAGGAGAUUUUCUUGGCAGUACUUCAUUCCUUAAACUGCCUCAAGGCACUAGAAAUGUUUCCCAAUUGUCUGUAAGAGUUUGUCAGAAGAAAUGGGCAAAUGCAAGAGAAAACAUGAAGACCUACCUAUCAUAUAACUACUCUGAUUCAAGCUACAUUUCAACACCAUGUCUCUCCUUUCUCUUCUAAGAUUUUUUGGAAAGAUAAGGAGCAGAGGUGCCUCCAAAGUAUUUUUUCAUUCCUUAGCUGGAAUCUGAAUUGGAUGAAUAUUUGUGUACAGAAAUUUAAAUAAAUGCAAUAAAUAAAUGAAAUUCAACAUUCUCAAACAGAACUGAUGCCAGAUAUUUAAAAACAUCACAAAUACAUUGCAGUAUUCACCAAAUAUAUUAGGCAGCAACAGCUUCUAAAAGCAGACCCAUAACAUCUACCUGAGAAAACAUUCUCAAUGUACAUGUCAUUUAUUUUUAUCCUUCCUUUAUUAUUUUUAUG